UAAGACGUAGGGCGCGAGCGUUGUCCGGAUUUAUUGGGCGUAAAGAGCUCGUAGGCGGCUCAUCGCGUCGUGCGUGAAAACCCGUAGCUCAACUGCGGGCUUGCGUUCGAUACGGGUGGGCUGGAGUUCGGUAGGGGAGACUGGAAUUCCUGGUGUAGCGGUGAAAUGCGCAGAUAUCAGGAGGAACACCGGUGGCGAAGGCGGGUCUCUGGGCCGAUACUGACGCUGAGGAGCGAAAGCGUGGGGAGCGAACAGGAUUAGAUACCCUGGUAGUCCACGCUGUAAACGUUGGGCGCUAGGUGUGGGGGGCCUCUCCGGUUUCCUGCGCCGUAGCUAACGCAUUAAGCGCCCCGCCUGGGGAGUACGGCCGCAAGGCUA
RNAcentral lists this ribosomal RNA (378 nucleotides) under uncultured bacterium. RNAcentral's name for it is "bacterial SSU rRNA". It matches the Rfam family "Bacterial small subunit ribosomal RNA", at positions 521 to 896 of the family's 1533-position model. The record is from RNAcentral.